This 64-nucleotide transfer RNA is filed under the name Calanus glacialis. Its description in RNAcentral is "tRNA-Gly". The record is from RNAcentral. Lineage: Eukaryota; Metazoa; Arthropoda; Copepoda; Calanoida; Calanidae.
AAUAGUUUAGUAUAAUAUAUUACACAUAAUUUCCAAUUAUGAGAUUUAAUCUCUAAAACUAUUA